GCCUGGGUGGCUCAGUCGGUUGAGCAUCUGACUUCGACUCAGGUCAUGAUCUCGCAGUUUGUGAGUUCGAGCCCCGCAUCGGGCU
Molecule: transfer RNA, 85 nt
Filed under: Felis catus (domestic cat)
Lineage: Eukaryota; Metazoa; Chordata; Mammalia; Carnivora; Felidae
Rfam family: tRNA
About the family: Transfer RNA (tRNA) molecules are approximately 80 nucleotides in length. Their secondary structure includes four short double-helical elements and three loops (D, anti-codon, and T loops).
Source: Rfam by way of RNAcentral